This 235-nucleotide unclassified non-coding RNA is filed under the name fungal sp. Its description in RNAcentral is "partial internal transcribed spacer region". The stretch from base 1 to 45 matches the Rfam family "Eukaryotic small subunit ribosomal RNA", at positions 1787 to 1831 of the family's 1831-position model. Lineage: Eukaryota; Fungi. The record is from RNAcentral.
AGUCGUAACAAGGUAUCCGUAGGUGAACCUGCGGAUGGAUCAUUAAAGAAGGGAUUUAAAUCUCUACGUCUAGUGAACGGUUUUGGGUUUGGGUGUGUGUGUGUUUAGGGGGGGCCUGCGCUCUGCUGACGCACACGCUCUCUUGGUGAAAGCACGUAUUUUUUCCUUACACUGAAGUCUUUGAGAUUACGGUGAGAAACUGAAACAACUUUUAGCAACGGAUCUCUUGGCUCUC